RNAcentral lists this ribosomal RNA (500 nucleotides) under uncultured bacterium. RNAcentral describes it as "partial 16S ribosomal RNA". It matches the Rfam family "Bacterial small subunit ribosomal RNA", at positions 30 to 523 of the family's 1533-position model. The record is from RNAcentral.
AUUGAACGCUGGCGGAAUGCUUUACACAUGCAAGUCGAACGGCAGCACGGGGGCAACCCUGGUGGCGAGUGGCGAACGGGUGAGUAAUACAUCGGAACGUGCCCAGUCGUGGGGGAUAACGUAGCGAAAGUUACGCUAAUACCGCAUACGAUCUACGGAUGAAAGCGGGGGACCGUAAGGCCUCGCGCGAUUGGAGCGGCCGAUGUCAGGUUAGGUAGUUGGUGAGGUAAAGGCUCACCAAGCCGACGAUCUGUAGCUGGUCUGAGAGGACGACCAGCCACACUGGGACUGAGACACGGCCCAGACUCCUACGGGAGGCAGCAGUGGGGAAUUUUGGACAAUGGGCGCAAGCCUGAUCCAGCCAUUCCGCGUGCAGGACGAAGGCCUUCGGGUUGUAAACUGCUUUUGUACGGAACGAAAAGGCUCUGGUUAAUACCUGGGGCUCAUGACGGUACCGUAAGAAUAAGCACCGGCUAACUACAUGCCAGCCGCCGCUGUAA